CGCACUCGCCGUAAUGUUGCACCUGGUGCACGAAUUAAGAGGAUUGAGGUUUUCUUCAAGUAUACCUACAGUAGCUCACCAGACAGCUCACGUCUCGAUAAGGAACACGUGUUUUGGCUAUUAGUUUAAUAGAAGAACGGCUGUCUUUAAUCAAGAGUCGAAGUGCCUUAGCUGCCAACUUCCCAAAUAGAACUGCAGCCUCAUCACUAGAGCAUUGGAGAGAGGCGCCGAGACCACAACCAAUAGAUUUACAGGGGGAUUUCUUCAAGUCCAAAGGAACCCAGCGCAACUGUAAGAUGCCCCCACAUAAUAUAUAAUAAAUCCACUAAUGAGAGUGACAGGAAAAGAUAAUACCUCAAUCAUAUAGAUGAAACAGAUAAGCCUUCUUUAGGUGAAGGAGAGAGAGAGAGCAGCAGAUCAAUAAGGCACAGGAGAACACCGCACAGAGUAGCUAGGAAGGGCAUAAUGCAGGUGGAGCUGUAAAUACCCAGAGUGUCCCCAUCAGGAGAAAAGAAAUGCGAGUCAGCUUUGUCCUUGGAUACGGUAGUGAGAGAGAAACUGAAGCUGUGGCAGUGAGAGCCUGUGGCCUCCAGUGCUGAUUGAUAGCAUGAUAUUUAACUUUUAUUACACUUCGUAUCUAGGCUAUAAGUGCCAGGCUCCUACUGGACUCCUUAUAAACAUCUUUAAUUUCAACGUAUAUUCACUGUACUGUAUGUUCAGUAUACAGUAUGUGCACUUUUUUGUAAAAUAAUGUACUUUGCAGAAGACCAAAACUUUCCAACAUUUUCCUAAACAGUUAUGUUAAGUUUUCCAAAACUGGAUAAAGACAUUAGCCCUGUCGACAAUAGCACUGCUCUUGUCUGGUGGGAAUUUGAGAUUCUGUAAAUCUGGUACGAAUCAAAGCCUGAUGUCUUUACUAGGACACAUCCAAACAAUUGCAUAUUGUACUGGCCUGAAGUGGUGUUUACUGUUCCUGUCCUGGAACACAGAAGGACCAAACAACUACAUGAGUAUUUUCUGAAUCAUGCCUACUCAACAAUAAGAAAGUAUUAUAAUCUUCAAGUCCGCAAUCAUUUUGAAAAUUUAGGCACCUUCCAAGGCAUUCUUAACCUCUUAAUACUGCUGAUUGUCCAUUUAAUGUGCAUUUCAUUUAUGAACAUGAACAGUUCAUUCAUCAGCUCUAUGCUGUGACUAUCUCUGAUUACUGGCAAUAUUAUAAGGCCCACAAAAGUUUCCAUGCUUCAAGACUCCUUCUAUAAAGUACACGGCACCCUAACUACACUGUAGUUUGGGUCAAUUGUGGCAAACUAAUACUUCAUAUUGUGAGCCAGAAUCACUUCAAAAUUCCAGGAAUUCUUUAAAACAUCUUCCCUUUUAGGAUAUAGUUUAAAUAGGUCUUUUUUUUUUACUUUAAAGAUGCAACUCUUAGAAAUAAGUAUAUGUGAAAACUGUGGGCUGUGGAGCCAUCAUCAGGAGUGUAGGGAAAUGAAACUAGAGGAAGAGAAAGAAGAACAAAAAACAGGGUCAGAAUGGGGAAACCUCCAGUUAUAAUAUUAUAUUCUUCCAGUAAAUCUGUGGCAAGAAACAAUCUUAAAAUUACAAUUACAGCAUACAAACAUGGAAGGAAACUAAGUACGAAUAAUGUUGUGGUUUAUUUCCUGUAAAAGGCACAAUUCAGUGACAAUUCCUAACCACAUAAUCUAAUGGUAGUGUGGCAGGAUUUAAAUAACAGAGGCAAUUUUCAUAAAAAAGCCCAGUGAUGCUCUUUCGCUUCUCACCUGUUGCAAUUUAAAAGAAUUUGUCUUUGAAAGAGACAAACAACAGACAAAAUGAAGGGAAGACCUUUGUUUUCCAGAAACCCAGACAGAACCAGACAGCAUCUCCUGUCUGUCUUUAAUGAAUCACUGAAUUAAGUGCAUCUUCACCAACUUGGCUGGUGCAGCAGCCCAGAUCCCAGCCUACAUACCAUCCAUUAUAGUGCUACCCACAGUGAGUUAGUCAUUUGUCCUCCUAAUGGUGAGAUGAGUGAUGAAAACCAGUAUUAGGACAUAAUGUGGUAUAAUAACUUCUUAGUUGCAUUUCACAGAAGCUUGGAAUAUUAAUUGGUUUCUCAUAGGAUUGGUGCUUGGCCUUAAUAGGCUUUUAUUAUCUUACAUUUAAUUUAACAGUUCCGCUUUAGAUUUCAGGAUUACAAAAUAAUUACAGUGAUGCUACUAAAAUCUUUGUAUGGCAUCAAGAUACGUUAUGUUAAAACUGCAAAAUGCAUUAGUAUGAUCUUAUUACAAUGUCGUGUCCUGUUUUGGUCACCAUGAUGUGAAAUGUAUUCUGCUGUUUUGUCCAGAGCUCAAAGAAAUUAACUAUACUGAGACUAAAAAACAAUUAUUUUUGUCCUUGACCCGAGAAGACUAUUAGUGGACAUUAUUCAAGGAUUCAAAAUCUUCAAGGACAUUGACAGAGUCAAUCCUAUGGACUUCCUCAGUAUAAACAGUGAAAAAUAAAUGGAAAUUGAGGGAGAUCCUGUUUAAAAUGGAGCAACUUAUCUAGCCAUAUGGUCAAAGUGUAUAUCACCAUGUCUUUCAUGAAACAGUUGCAUGAGACACUCGGAACAAUUCAUCAGUUCAAAUCAGAUCUUAUUUCAAAUAAUAAUGGCUUCUAGUUUAUGGCAUUACAACAUAGUCACGCAGGACCAGAAGAAACACUUUCAGGCAAGUUGCAGGCAUGGAGAGGAAGCAGUGAUCAAAAUGAAAAAGAAAGCAUGUUUUUAUUAUUCAGUUUAGCAUAUUGAGUGUCAUUUCUGAAACAAUAAAAUACAAUCACCGGACCAUAAAAUAUUACAACUCAAAGGCUGCAGUCCUGCAUUAUCAGUAGGAGGGAAGGGGCACUCGACUUAUUGUUUUAUUUUGAAAAUAAAAAAUAAAACAUAUAUGGGGAGCUGUU
Lepisosteus oculatus (spotted gar) is the source of this 2937-nucleotide long non-coding RNA. RefSeq lists it as uncharacterized. NCBI's taxonomy places the organism in Eukaryota, Metazoa, Chordata, Actinopteri, Semionotiformes, Lepisosteidae. The record is from RefSeq and is a predicted model, not a curated record.